RNAcentral lists this ribosomal RNA (810 nucleotides) under uncultured bacterium. RNAcentral describes it as "bacterial SSU rRNA". It matches the Rfam family "Bacterial small subunit ribosomal RNA", at positions 8 to 796 of the family's 1533-position model. The record is from RNAcentral.
AGAGUUUGAUCAUGGCUCAGAAUGAACGCUGGCGGCGUGCUUAACACAUGCAAGUCGAGCGGUAAGGCCCCUUCGGGGGUACACGAGCGGCGAACGGGUGAGUAACGCGUGGGUAACCUACCCAGAAGUGGGGGAUAGCCUCGGGAAACUGGGGGUAAUACCGCAUGAGCCCUUCGAGGCGCUGGCCUCAAAGGGAAAAGGCGGGGAUCUUCGGACCUGUCGCUUCUGGAUGGGCCCGCGUCCGAUUAGCUAGUUGGUGGGGUAAUGGCCUACCAAGGCGACGAUCGGUAGCCGGCCUGAGAGGGUGAACGGCCACAUUGGGACUGAGACACGGCCCAGACUCCUACGGGAGGCAGCAGUGGGGAAUUUUGGGCAAUGGGCGAAAGCCUGACCCAGCGACGCCGCGUGGAGGAUGAAGGCCUUCGGGUUGUAAACUCCUGUCAGGUGGGAAGAAAUGCUCGCCGGCCAACACCCGGCGGGAGUUGACUGUACCACCAAAGGAAGCCCCGGCUAACUCCGUGCCAGCAGCCGCGGUAAUACGGAGGGGGCAAGCGUUAUUCGGAUUUACUGGGCGUAAAGCGCACGUAGGCGGCGAGGUAAGUCAAAGGUGAAAGCCCUCGGCUCAACCGAGGAACUGCCUUUGAAACUGCCCUGCUUGAGUCCGGGAGGGGGGAGCGGAAUUCCCAGUGUAGCGGUGAAAUGCGUAGAUACUGGGAGGAACACCGGUGGCGAAGGCGGCUCCCUGGACCGGUACUGACGCUGAGGUGCGAAAGCGUGGGUAGCAAACAGGAUUAGAUACCCUAGUAGUCC